This 582-nucleotide ribosomal RNA is filed under the name uncultured Bacillaceae bacterium. Its description in RNAcentral is "bacterial SSU rRNA". It matches the Rfam family "Bacterial small subunit ribosomal RNA", at positions 57 to 619 of the family's 1533-position model. Lineage: Bacteria; Bacillati; Bacillota; Bacilli; Caryophanales; Bacillaceae. The record is from RNAcentral.
GCAAGUCGAGCGGAUCGAACGGGAGCUUGCUUCCGUUCGGUUAGCGGCGGACGGGUGAGUAACACGUGGGCAACCUGCCCGUAAGACCGGGAUAACUUCGGGAAACCGGAGCUAAUACCGGAUAACACCGAAGACCGCAUGGUCUUUGGUUGAAAGACGGCUUUGGCUGUCACUUACGGAUGGGCCCGCGGCGCAUUAGCUAGUUGGUGGGGUAACGGCUCACCAAGGCGACGAUGCGUAGCCGACCUGAGAGGGUGAUCGGCCACACUGGGACUGAGACACGGCCCAGACUCCUACGGGAGGCAGCAGUAGGGAAUCUUCCGCAAUGGACGAAAGUCUGACGGAGCAACGCCGCGUGAGCGAAGAAGGUCUUCGGAUUGUAAAGCUCUGUUGUUAGGGAAGAACAAGUACCGUUCGAAUAGGGCGGUACCGUGACGGUACCUAACGAGAAAGCCACGGCUAACUACGUGCCAGCAGCCGCGGUAAUACGUAGGUGGCAAGCGUUGUCCGGAAUUAUUGGGCGUAAAGCGCGCGCAGGCGGUCCUUUAAGUCUGAUGUGAAAGCCCACGGCUCAACCGUGGA